UAGGAACUGCGGACGCACGCCCCCCCGUAUUUCCAUCCCAAACCCUUUUAAAAAAAAAACCUUUUCCCGGGGCGGGUUAGCCCUCCUUGUUCCUAGGGUCCUCAUCCGCGAAGGCCCCGAGGGGUUUCGCGCCCUUUUUAUUUUGAUUUUGGAGAGUGGUAUAACCAGGCGGAAUUCGCCUCCCAAUACGUUACCAUGGUAUAGAGGAAUUAAAUCUCGGUCGUGUAUCGUUGGUUUCUCUUGGCAGAAAUAAAGAAUGAUAUAAACAGGUGGGGGAAUUCGUAUUUAGCGGACAGGGGAGAAAGUGUACGAAAAAAAGAAGAGGGAAUAAUGUUUUAUUAUUAUAAAAGGAUGUUAAUAAAAUCAAGACGGAUGAUAAAGUAUGCAACAACGAUCAAAUUUCCACCAACAAAAUAAAAAAAUAAAUGUUAAAAUGAUUCAGUAGAUUAUUAUGAAAGCCUACCAAACAACAUACAGUAAAUCAACGAAGUUAGAAGUUUUACG
Molecule: ribosomal RNA, 504 nt
Filed under: uncultured amoeba
Lineage: Eukaryota
Description: partial small subunit ribosomal RNA
Source: RNAcentral